RNAcentral lists this ribosomal RNA (449 nucleotides) under uncultured bacterium. RNAcentral describes it as "bacterial SSU rRNA". It matches the Rfam family "Bacterial small subunit ribosomal RNA", at positions 355 to 796 of the family's 1533-position model. The record is from RNAcentral.
UGGGGAAUAUUGGACAAUGGGCGAAAGCCUGAUCCAGCAAUGCCGCGUGUGUGAAGAAGGCCUUCGGGUUGUAAAGCACUUUCAGUGGGGAAGAAAAGUUUAGGGUUAAUACCCCUGAGCAUUGACGUUACCUACAGAAGAAGCACCGGCUAACUCUGUGCCAGCAGCCGCGGUAAUACAGAGGGUGCAAGCGUUAAUCGGAAUUACUGGGCGUAAAGCGUGCGUAGGUGGAUAUUUAAGUCGAAUGUGAAAGCCCCGGGCUCAACCUGGGAACUGCAUCCGAUACUGGAUAUCUGGAGUAUGGUAGAGGAAAGUGGAAUUCCCGGUGUAGCGGUGAAAUGCGUAGAUAUCGGGAGGAACAUCAGUGGCGAAGGCGACUUUCUGGAUCAAUACUGACACUGAGGCACGAAAGCGUGGGGAGCAAACAGGAUUAGAUACCCCCGUAGUCC